RNAcentral lists this ribosomal RNA (498 nucleotides) under uncultured bacterium. Its description in RNAcentral is "partial 16S ribosomal RNA". It matches the Rfam family "Bacterial small subunit ribosomal RNA", at positions 30 to 523 of the family's 1533-position model. The record is from RNAcentral.
AUUGAACGCUGGCGGCAUGCCUUACACAUGCAAGUCGAACGGUAACGCGGGGCAACCUGGCGACGAGUGGCGAACGGGUGAGUAAUAUAUCGGAACGUGCCCAGUUGUGGGGGAUAACUGCUCGAAAGAGCAGCUAAUACCGCAUACGACCCGAGGGUGAAAGCGGGGGAUCGUAAGACCUCGCGCAAUUGGAGCGGCCGAUACCUGAUUAGGUAGUUGGUGGGGUAAAGGCUCACCAAGCCAACGAUCUGGAGCUGGUCUGAGAGGACGACCGGCCACGCUGGGACUGAGACACGGCCCAGACGCCUACGGGAGGCAGCAGUGGGGAAUUUUUGACAAUUGGAGCAAGCCUGAUCCAGCCAUGCCGCGGGUGUGAAGAAGGCCUUCGGGUUGUAAAGCACUUUCAGUAGGGAGGAAGGGUGUUGUGUUAAUAGCACAGCAUUUUGGCGUUACCUACGGAAGAAGCACCGGCUAACUCUGUGCCAGCAGCCGCAGUAA